RNAcentral lists this non-coding RNA (30 nucleotides) under Mus musculus (house mouse). Lineage: Eukaryota; Metazoa; Chordata; Mammalia; Rodentia; Muridae. The record is from RNAcentral.
ACCUUUGUGGACUAGUAACAGGAGGAUGUC